UAUGUACUCCCUCCGUCCGGAAAUACUUGUCAUCAAAAUGGAUAAAAGGGGAUGUAUCUAGACAUAUUUUAGUUUUAGAUACAUCUGUUUUUAUCCAUUUUGAUGACAAGUAUUUUCGGAUGGAGGGAUUAGUAC
Triticum urartu is the source of this 135-nucleotide non-coding RNA. Lineage: Eukaryota; Viridiplantae; Streptophyta; Magnoliopsida; Poales; Poaceae. The record is from Rfam.